RNAcentral lists this non-coding RNA (397 nucleotides) under Vibrio anguillarum. Lineage: Bacteria; Pseudomonadati; Pseudomonadota; Gammaproteobacteria; Vibrionales; Vibrionaceae. The record is from RNAcentral.
GUCGGAAGGAUUCUGACAAGGAAUUACAAAGCACCAAGGUUUGGUCUCUUCAGGAAGAAGACAAGGUUGUUCACGAAGAAUAACCACGCAGGAUGCUAGGACAGCGUAAGGAUACAACAGUUGGCAGGAUGCGAGCUGCAUGGAUUGGCGAUGGACACCUUGUGGAUAAGGCAGGACAACAUCAGGAUGAUGUUAUGGACACCGCUCAAGGAACAAGUGAUGAGUAUUGACCGGAGUGUUAGUACCAUGGAAAGUUUGGACACCGCUAGGAUGGCGAUGCAGGAUGAGCCGAAGAAUUGGCCACUAUUAUGGAUGAUGCAUGGAGCACACAAUUUAGUAGCUGGACUGCUGCGAGUAAGACUUUAAGCCUCGACACAUGCGUGUUGAGGCUUUUCUU